UGGGGAAUUUUGGACAAUGGGCGAAAGCCUGAUCCAGCAAUGCCGCGUGUGUGAAGAAGGCCUUCGGGUUGUAAAGCACUUUUGUCCGGAAAGAAAUCCUUGGCUCUAAUACAGUCGGGGGAUGACGGUACCGGAAGAAUAAGCACCGGCUAACUACGUGCCAGCAGCCGCGGUAAUACGUAGGGUGCAAGCGUUAAUCGGAAUUACUGGGCGUAAAGCGUGCGCAGGCGGUUUGCUAAGACCGAUGUGAAAUCCCCGGGCUCAACCUGGGAACUGCAUUGGUGACUGGCAGGCUAGAGUAUGGCAGAGGGGGGUAGAAUUCCACGUGUAGCAGUGAAAUGCGUAGAGAUGUGGAGGAAUACCGAUGGCGAAGGCAGCCCCCUGGGCCAAUACUGACGCUCAUGCACGAAAGCGUGGGGAGCAAAACAGGAUUAGAUACCCUGGUAGUCCACGCCCUAAACGAUGUCAACUAGUUGUUGGGGAUUCAUUUCCUUAGUAACGUAGCUAACGCGUGAAGUUGACCGCCUGGGGAGUACGGUCGCAAGAUUAAAACUCAAAUGAAUUGACGGGGUC
RNAcentral lists this ribosomal RNA (573 nucleotides) under uncultured bacterium. Its description in RNAcentral is "partial 16S ribosomal RNA". It matches the Rfam family "Bacterial small subunit ribosomal RNA", at positions 355 to 920 of the family's 1533-position model. The record is from RNAcentral.